UUUAAUUCGAUGCAACGCGAAGAACCUUACCUACCCUUGACAUCCUGCGAACCCUUCGGAGACGAAGGGGUGCCUUCGGGAACGCAGAGACAGGUGCUGCAUGGCUGUCGUCAGCUCGUGUUGUGAAAUGUUGGGUUAAGUCCCGUAACGAGCGCAACCCUUGUCCCUAUUUGCCAGCGAGUCAUGUCGGGAACUCUAAGGAGACUGCCGGUGACAAACCGGUGGAAGGUGGGGACGACGUCAAGUCAUCAUGGCCCUUACGGGUAGGGCUACACACGUGCUACAAUGGCCGGUACAAAGGGUUGCGAAGCCGCGAGGUGGAGCUAAUCCCGAAAAGCUGGUCUCAGUCCGGAUCGGAGUCUGCAACUCGACUCCGUGAAGUCGGAAUCGCUAGUAAUCGUGAAUCAGAAUGUCA
Molecule: ribosomal RNA, 415 nt
Filed under: uncultured bacterium
Lineage: Bacteria
Description: bacterial SSU rRNA
Rfam family: Bacterial small subunit ribosomal RNA
Source: RNAcentral